AUGGCUUUAGAACAUCAAGAUGUU
RNAcentral lists this non-coding RNA (24 nucleotides) under Cricetulus griseus (Chinese hamster). Lineage: Eukaryota; Metazoa; Chordata; Mammalia; Rodentia; Cricetidae. The record is from RNAcentral.